This 497-nucleotide ribosomal RNA is filed under the name uncultured bacterium. RNAcentral describes it as "partial 16S ribosomal RNA". It matches the Rfam family "Bacterial small subunit ribosomal RNA", at positions 28 to 523 of the family's 1533-position model. The record is from RNAcentral.
GAUGAACGCUGGCGGCGUGCUUAACACAUGCAAGUCGAACGAAGCACCUUAUUCUGAUUUCUUCGGAAUGAAAAAUUUGGUGACUGAGUGGCGGACGGGUGAGUAACGCGUGGGUAACCUGCCUCAUGCAGGGGGAUAACAGUUAGAAAUGACUGCUAAUACCGCAUAAGACCACAGCACCGCAUGGUGCAGGGGUAAAAACUCCGGUGGUAUGAGAUGGACCCGCGUCUGAUUAGGUAGUUGGUGGGGUAACGGCCUACCAAGCCGACGAUCAGGAGCCGACCUGAGAGGGUGACCGGCCACAUUGGGACUGAGACACGGCCCAAACUCCUACGGGAGGCAGCAGUGGGGAAUAUUGCACAAUGGGGGAAACCCUGAUGCAGCGACGCCGCGUGAGCGAUGAAGUAUUUCGGUAUGUAAAGCUCUAUCAGCAGGGAAGAAAAUGACGGUACCUGACUAAGAAGCACCGGCUAAAUACGUGCCAGCAGCCGCCGUAA